GCUUUACUGUUCCCUGGCAUUGGUCUCGGCCUUCCUGCGCAGCUAGGUGGGAGGCACAGAAGCUCCUCUUCCGGGAGGGUCAAGCCAUCCGUGAGAGACCACCUGGAAGGCUAAGAUCCUAACAAUUGGAACCGUGUCAGCAGACAGUUUCUCUGGGCAGAGGCCUCCAAAGAGUAAUGGAGCGUGCAAAGUCCUCAGGCUGGACGGAUCAGUUAGAGUGUAAGGCAGAAGGAGCUUGACUGCAAGACACAAGUCGAGCAGGACGAAAGUCGGCCUUAGUGAUCCGACGUGCCGAGUGAAGGGCGUCGCUUAUCGAGUAA
Molecule: ribosomal RNA, 320 nt
Filed under: uncultured alga
Lineage: Eukaryota
Description: bacterial LSU rRNA
Rfam family: Bacterial large subunit ribosomal RNA
Source: RNAcentral